UACUCGAGUGGCGAACGGGUGAGUAACACGUGGGUGGUCUGCCCUGCACUUCGGGAUAAGCUUGGGAAACUGGGUCUAAUACCGGAUAGGAGCCAUCUUUAGUGUGGUGGUUAGAAAGUUUUUUCGGUGUAGGAUGAGCUCGCGGCCUAUCAGCUUGUUGGUGGGGUAAUGGCCUACCAAGGCGGCGACGGGUAGCCGGCCUGAGAGGGUGUACGGCCACAUUGGGACUGAGAUACGGCCCAG
RNAcentral lists this ribosomal RNA (243 nucleotides) under uncultured Actinomycetales bacterium. Its description in RNAcentral is "partial 16S ribosomal RNA". It matches the Rfam family "Bacterial small subunit ribosomal RNA", at positions 88 to 334 of the family's 1533-position model. Lineage: Bacteria; Bacillati; Actinomycetota; Actinomycetes; Actinomycetales. The record is from RNAcentral.